GAUGAACGCUGGCGGCGUGCUUAACACAUGCAAGUCGAACGAAGCACUUUAUUUGAUUUCCUUCGGGACUGAUUAUUUUGUGACUGAGUGGCGGACGGGUGAGUAACGCGUGGGUAACCUGCCUUGUACAGGGGGAUAACAGUUGGAAACGGCUGCUAAUACCGCAUAAGCGCACGGCAUCGCAUGAUGCAGUGUGAAAAACUCCGGUGGUAUAAGAUGGACCCGCGUUGGAUUAGCUAGUUGGUGAGGUAACGGCCCACCAAGGCGACGAUCCAUAGCCGACCUGAGAGGGUGACCGGCCACAUUGGGACUGAGACACGGCCCAAACUCCUACGGGAGGCAGCAGUGGGGAAUAUUGCACAAUGGGCGAAAGCCUGAUGCAGCGACGCCGCGUGAGCGAAGAAGUGUUUCGGUAUGUAAAGCUCUAUCAGCAGGGAAGAUAAUGACGGUACCUGACUAAGAAGCACCGGCUAAAUACGUG
This 481-nucleotide ribosomal RNA is filed under the name uncultured bacterium. RNAcentral describes it as "partial 16S ribosomal RNA". It matches the Rfam family "Bacterial small subunit ribosomal RNA", at positions 28 to 507 of the family's 1533-position model. The record is from RNAcentral.